GACAGAGGGUGCAAACGUUGCUCGGAAUCACUGGGCGUAAAGGGCGCGUAGGCGGGGAUGUAAGUCGGGCGUGAAAUCCCUAGGCUCAACCUAGGAACUGCACUCGAAACUGCGUUUCUUGAGUAUCGGAGAGGAAAGCGGAAUUCCUGGUGUAGAGGUGAAAUUCGUAGAUAUCAGGAGGAACACCAGUGGCGAAGGCGGCUUUCUGGGUCUUACCUGACGCUGAGGAACGAAAGCCAGGGGAGCGAACGGG
Molecule: ribosomal RNA, 253 nt
Filed under: uncultured bacterium
Lineage: Bacteria
Description: partial 16S ribosomal RNA
Rfam family: Bacterial small subunit ribosomal RNA
Source: RNAcentral